RNAcentral lists this ribosomal RNA (434 nucleotides) under uncultured bacterium. RNAcentral describes it as "partial 16S ribosomal RNA". It matches the Rfam family "Bacterial small subunit ribosomal RNA", at positions 29 to 508 of the family's 1533-position model. The record is from RNAcentral.
AACGAACGCUGGCGGCAUGCCUAACACAUGCAAGUCGAACGAGACCUUCGGGUCUAGUGGCGCACGGGUGCGUAACGCGUGGGAACCUGCCCUUAGGUUCGGAAUAACUCCCCGAAAGGGGUGCUAAUACCGGAUAAUGUCUUCGGACCAAAGAUUUAUCGCCUUUGGAUGGGCCCGCGUUGGAUUAGCUAGUUGGUAGGGUAAAAGCCUACCAAGGCGACGAUCCAUAGCUGGUCUGAGAGGAUGAUCAGCCACACUGGGACUGAGACACGGCCCAGACUCCUACGGGAGGCAGCAGUGAGGAAUAUUGGACAAUGGGCGAAAGCCUGAUCCAGCAAUGCCGCGUGAGUGAUGAAGGCCGUAGGGUUGUAAAGCUCUUUUACCCGGGAUGAUAAUGACAGUACCGGGAGAAUAAGCUCCGGCUAACUCCGUGC